AAUAGAUACCCGGGUAGUCCACGCUGUAAACGUUGGACACUAGGUGUGGCGGUCUGAUCAACGACUGCCGUGCCGAAGCUAACGCAUUAAGUGUCCCGCCUGGGGAGUACGGCCGCAAGGCUAAAACUCAAAGGAAUUGACGGGUCCCCGCACAAGCGGCGGAGCAUGCGGCUUAAUUCGAUGCAACCCGAAGAACCUUACCUGGGUUUGACAUCAUGGGAAAAGCCGUGGAAACACGGUGUCCGAAAGGGCCCAUGACAGGUGGUGCAUGGCUGUCGUCAGCUCGUGUCGUGAGAUGUUGGGUUAAGUCCCGCAACGAGCGCAACCCUUGUCCUAUGUUGCCAGCGGUUCGGCCGGGGACUCAUAGGAGACUGCCGGGGAUAACUCGGAGGAAGGUGAGGACGAUGUCAAGUCAUCAUGCCCCUUAUAUCCAGGGCUGCACGCAUGCUACAAUGGUCGGUACAACGGGCAGCGAUCCUGCGAAGGUGAGCGAAUCCCACAAAGCCGGCCUCAGUUCGGAUUGGAGU
This 527-nucleotide ribosomal RNA is filed under the name uncultured bacterium. Its description in RNAcentral is "bacterial SSU rRNA". It matches the Rfam family "Bacterial small subunit ribosomal RNA", at positions 777 to 1304 of the family's 1533-position model. The record is from RNAcentral.